RNAcentral lists this ribosomal RNA (497 nucleotides) under uncultured bacterium. RNAcentral's name for it is "partial 16S ribosomal RNA". It matches the Rfam family "Bacterial small subunit ribosomal RNA", at positions 28 to 507 of the family's 1533-position model. The record is from RNAcentral.
GAUGAACGCUGGCGGCGUGCCUAAUACAUGCAAGUCGAGCGAAAAGACGAGGAGCUUGCUCCUCUGACGUUAGAGGCGGAAGGGUGAGUAACACAUGGAUACCCUACCUAUAAGACUGGGAUCACUUCGUGAACCCGGAGCUCAUACCGGCUAAUAUAUUGAACCGCAUGGUUCAAUAGUGAAAGCCGGUUUUGCUGUCACUUAUAGAUGGGUCCGCGCCAGAUUUGGUAGUUGGUAAGGUAAAGGAUUACCAAGGCAACGAUGCGUAGCCGCUCUGAGAGGGUGACCGGCCACACUGGAACUGAGACACGGCCCAGACUCCUACGGGAGGCAGCAGUAGGGAAUUUUGCACAAUGGGCGAAAGCCUGAUGGAGCAACGCCGCGUGAAGGAUGAAGGUCUUCGGGUUGUAAACUGCUUUUAUAAGGAAAGAACAGGUGUUGAAGUAACUAUGCGCGUCAUGACGGUACCGAAUCAGAAAGCCACGGCUAACUACGUG